Cynocephalus volans (Philippine flying lemur) is the source of this 1160-nucleotide long non-coding RNA. RefSeq lists it as uncharacterized. The record is from RefSeq and is a predicted model, not a curated record. The transcript has 3 exons. NCBI's taxonomy places the organism in Eukaryota, Metazoa, Chordata, Mammalia, Dermoptera, Cynocephalidae.
UGCUAGCAAGACUCCGAACGUUCCAGGGGCCCUGGCCGUUUUCUUAUAUUUUCCCCAGGAGUCCUCACAGCCCCCACCGGCUACAGCCGGGCAGAGAUCACACUGCGGUGCAGGGGACACGGCGGUGCAGGGGCUGCCCCCGCCCCAAGCAGCGCGGACGGGAGGACACAGGCCGCGCCCUCCCGCGCCGCUUCCUGGCCGGCGUGGCGGACGUUCAGAACGUCGCCGGCUACCUCUCCCCACAGCCACGCACGUGACAGGGACCGAGCGCCGCCGCCCUCGCGCUCCCGCCAGGCCGGGCCGUCCUGCAGGGGUCGGUUUAGCCCAUGUGAGCAAAAGCUCUGGGGUCCUCGGAUUUUCUAGAGUGUAAAUGGAUCCUGACACGGAAAGUGUAAGAACCACUGCUCUCAUCCAUAAACAUCCGCGUUCCUCAUCUUAGGUCUUCAGCAGUUUCAGUGAAGCUUUCUGAGGUGAUCCAAAGCCUGUACAUCUUUGAUUAGAGGUUUCUUGGACCGACUUUGAUUUGGAAUCUGGCAGAAGCUUCCUUCACAACCACCACCUUCACCACUUUCACAGUCUCAGCACCAUUCGCUUUCUGCUGAAAAUGGGAAGCACAUUGUUAAUGGCUUGUGUAUUAAUAGCUUCUUAGGAUUUACUAGUGAGUACUUAAUGUUUAUUAAUGAGUAUUAGGAGUACACGCUAACCAUUUUCCAUGUAAGUGUAGGUUUUCUGUCCUGUUUGAAUUAUUUCAAAGUGGAAUGUACUAAAUUUUCUGGAAGAAGGUUCAGCCAUAGCCCAUUACUACAACAAUAGUAGUAUAUGGGGGUCCCUGACAGUUGUCUCCAACUUAACUAUCCUUCAAACACUCAAUGUCUAAGUCAUUUGAAGGGAAAAAAUGGGGGGUGGGAUUCUCUGUGAAUAAGUAAAUUUGGAGCUAGGUUUGUGGGGUUUUGUGUUUUUUAAUUUCAUGAUAUAAUACAAUUUUCUACUGGGACACUGCUUUUUUGUCUAAGACCAGCUCACCUCAAAGGUCUCCACUUGUUUUUGUGUUUAUGUUUAAUGCUAUAGUCUUUCCAAUUUUUUCCUAAAAGGGAGGCCUGGUAUCAUUUCUUGUGAACGUUGCUAUGUUCUGUUCAUCUGAUAAUUUUUCACCAAAUAUA